CACGUAGGGGGCAAGCGUUGUCCGGAUUUAUUGGGCGUAAAGAGCUCGUAGGUGGUUCGGUAAGUCAGGUGUGAAACCUCCAGGCUCAACCUGGAGACGCCACUUGAUACUGCUGUGACUGGAGUCCGGUAGGGGAGCGUGGAAUUCCUGGUGUAGCGGUGAAAUGCGCAGAUAUCAGGAGGAACACCGAUGGCGAAGGCAGGUCACUGGGCCGCAACUGACGCUGAGGAGCGAAAGCAUGGGGAGCGAACAGG
This 254-nucleotide ribosomal RNA is filed under the name uncultured bacterium. Its description in RNAcentral is "partial 16S ribosomal RNA". It matches the Rfam family "Bacterial small subunit ribosomal RNA", at positions 524 to 776 of the family's 1533-position model. The record is from RNAcentral.